CGAAGUCCCUUUGCUUUAUCUCAGUGGCCAGCCUCCCCUCAGAUUAACUUGUCACAAGGCAGACCAGUCUUGCCCCUCCCCAUGACUGAUGAUGGAUGGUGGAAGACUCUGGUGGCCUGCUGUAGUUCCCAAGGGGUUUUUGUUUUUGUGGUUUUUCUUUUCUGUGUGUGUGUGUGUGUGUGUGUGUGUGUUAGCAAAGGAAGGAAGUGAGAAUGUGAAUAGAGGGUAGUGCUGCCUCCCCCCCCCCAUGCAGCCUGGUUAGUGAAGAGAAGCUCUGCAGGAAACACCUCAAAGUCACUGAGGGUGGUCCCCCCCCCCAUGAGUGUGGCUUGCUGAGGUCUGGGGCCAGGAAGGAAGGAGCCAGGACCAGCAGGCAAGGAAGGAAGAGGGAGCGGCAGGGAAGGCACGAAGGUGACAGGCCUGUACCUACAGUACCCUCAAACCAGGAUCUCUGCAGACAGCCUGCCUGUCCCUAGCUCCCUCCCUACCAGCUACUCCAUUCCAUGGGACUAAACCUCAGAAAGGAAAGGGACACAGGGCUGAGACAACUGGCCCAUAUCCCAAGUCUUGUGGCUGUUUCAGCAUGGUACACUGAGCCCAGCGGACGAGGAGAGAUCGUCACAGAGGGCCUUGUGCAAAUCAGGUCAUUAUCCUGCCCUGACACCCAGUUCAGAGACCCUGCUCCACACAGACCUGACCCAUACAUGGCAAUCUCUGGCCUCCUUCCUCUAUGGAGCCCUUCAGUGCCCAGCGUGGGAGAUGGCACCUGCCCUUGUGUUCUCCAAGCUCCCUGAUACAGAGGGGGAGGACAAGGUGAGUCCUGCCUUGGCUGGGGAGAGCUCACCUUUGUUUACUAAGCACCUACUGUGUGUUCAGCCUAGUGUUAACACAGAUCUCAUCCCCAGGACAAAAAAGUUGGGGAGUUUUAUCUGCGCCAUUGGGAAACCUGAGGCUCACAGAGGAGCAGGGUCUAGCCUCAAGCCACUCAGUCAGUCUCUGCAGAAGCUAGGGACAAAGGGUGACUGGUGUGCUCACUAGAGGGUCAGGUGAUACCCCAAAAAGCUCUUCUCCCUGUGAGGGUCCCAAGAUAGGAGUUGGAUUUGGCAGUCCUUGCAGGGGAAUCUGGGGACAGAUUCUAGAUAAGGAGGGACAGCUGGACACGUGAAUUUCAUGGCAGGUUACAAGGAAUCUUUGGGCUCACUCAGGCUGCUCAGCCACCCUCAUGUCAAACCAGGCCUGCACUACAGGGCCAUCAAGGCCACCAAGCAGCCUCCCAGUAGCCGUCAUGCCACUUUUGGCCUCGGCAGCUCUCAGCGUCUAUCCAAACCACUCUUGACCUCCCCCAUCCAAAUGGGUCACUCCCCUAUUUUAAAAUCUUCUAGACUCCUCAGUACCCUCAAGCCAUCCCAAGCCCCAUACCGAACAUUCAAAUUCCCCGCUUCUGGAUUGAUCUUUCUUUGCCUCACUCCUGGGCCGCAAGUUACUCACGUUAGCGCAUGGGACCCCCUCCGUCCUGCCGAGUGUGCAGUUUUUGGUCCCUUUUCAAGCUGUAUCCCCUCCUGAUUCCUGUUCUCUUUGGUCUCCAAAUUGGACCUGGCUUUCAGGACCCAGGGAGUCCCCUACCACCAAGGACUUCUCAACUUGAGUCAUCUGCUCAGUGGCCCUUCAGGACUGUCCCUACUGUGAUGUGGCUUCUUCCCUGCUAGAAAGUCUGUCUGUUCCCCUUCUCUUUCACCCCAGAGCACAGUUCACAAGCAUGGACUAUCCAGUGUGAGUGGGUGCCCCAUAUGAGGUUGGCCUGGCAAGGUGUCAUCCUGGUGCCUGCUGGGCUGCUGGGCUGUGGACUCCAUCCCCAUACCUUUCCCUCUGUUGGCCACAAGGCCCAUCCCUGGCUCUCUAUCUCCUGUUCACAUUGCUGUCAUUCCCUGAACUGAAGCUUGGUACUAAGCCCCAAGAUCCCUCAGAUCCAGGACAGCCCGGGCCCUUAGCUCACCUCUUUGCAAGUCAAGCUACAGUCCCAACUGCAUGGCCAGUGGCAGGGGCAGGGAAAGUCACCAUGGGCCACUCCAGCUGUGACCAUUAGGUUACGUCUAGACUGUAAUUUCCUAGACUUGCUUCUACCCAUUGCUAGAUCUUCCCUCUUGAAUCAACCGUCACUUUCUCUGUUUUUCUCCAGGACAAACCACAUCCUUCCUCCCCACCUGCUAGGACUGGGCCUUCCCCUAUCCUUCAAAGCCCCAGGAAUAACCACUGCAGGGAGGCUGUGGCACUCUUGCCUUGAAACGUCCUACAAGCUGGGGCCCUUUCCUGAAAAUAUGGAACAGGACAAGAAUGUCCUCAGUGUUUUCCUGCAAGAUCUAGUUAAGCCAACCAGACAAGGAAAAUCAGUAAUAGCUGCAAUUGUUCAGAUUGCUGUUUAAAUGUUUAUAUCUGUCUGCCUAAAAAUCCCAAGGUUGGUUAUUAUGGGCUAGCAAAAGAGUUUGGGAAAUUUCAUAUGUUGAUUUUGUAAAGACAACCAGUAGCUGUUUUUGUUUGUUUGUUUGUUUGUUUUUUUGAGACAGGGUUUCUCUAUGGCUUUGGAGGCUGUCCUGGAACUCGCUCUUGUAGACCAGGCUGGUCUCAAACUCACAGAGAUCCCCCUGCCUCUGCCUCCCGAGUGCUGGGAUUAAAGGCGUGUGCCACCACCGCCUGGCCAGUAGCUGUCUUAUAUGCCAACCAAACCCAUUUUAAAAAAGACACAGGCUCCCUUCACAGUUGCCAAAAUAUAAACACCCCUGGGUUACUAUCACCCAUGGAAGUGCAGACUUCUUAACUUGGCAUGCACAGCCCUCGGUUACCCGUCACUCGCCACUGUCUUGCCCCUCUGUCCCCUAGAACCCAUUCCUCUGCCAUGCUCUUGUGAGAUUGCCUCUAGCAGUGACCUGAGCUCUUUCAACUGCCAACUCCUCAGGGCUCUUCCUCUGAGUGCCUUCCCAGCACACACCACAUUCUUUCCUGGGUCUAGCUCUGGUCCUAGAUAGUUAUGUGGACUAAGAUGUCUCUGCCAGUUGACCAAGAGCCCUGUGGAACAUGGAGUGAGCCUGGCUCAGAUCCAUGAAGGGCCGGUAAAUGUCAGAUGCUCAAGUGGCUGACAUGGCUGUGAUCCUGGAGUACAUCUACACUUAGGUGAGCGUCAGCUUUGCACAUAUUCAUGCUGGCUCUAGUGCCUCCCCGUGUGUGUGUGUGUGUGUGUGUGUGUGUGUGUGUGUGUGUGUGUGUGUGUAUCUUCUGUGACUGAGCUGGCUGGCACUGUAGCUCAGCUGGCCAGGCCCUUGACCAGAAAGGCCACUAACAGAGCCAGAGUAGUCUCCACCCACUGCCCCAAACACCCUCUACCCUCUGCCCCACCUGACUGGGUCAUACCUGGUAUGUGAGCAGACAGCUGUGCCCAGGCAGAAGAGGUCCUAGGGAAGCCAGCUACGAAGGAUCCUGAGACCAGGUCCAGGCGGGAGGCCUCCAGAACAGCCCAAUUGAUUACCCACAGCUGGGACUUCCCAGCCACAGGACCGCCCACGCCCACUCUACUACGCAGACCCCCUGCUUUCGGUUUCAGGAAAGUGCCGCCCCUUUCAUUCCAGUGGCAACCACUCCAACCUUUGAUCCGUCACAGCCCAGAGUUAGCCCGAGUUUGACGUGGAGAGACUGGAGAGGGGAGGUUAGGGAGGGCCUUAAGGGAAGCUAAGGAGAUGGAGAUUAGUAGAGGAGAGGUCACGUAGGUGGAGUCUAGGGAGGGUGGCCCUCUGUAACAGCAGCGGGGCAGGAGCUGUUGGGGACCGCUGAGGACUGUCAGACCCUCCCACUCCUUUGAUGGGGGGCUGGGGAGCACUCAGCCCCCUAGUGCCCAAGUCCAGAAACACUCCUCUCUCCAGGAAGGGUUCCAGUUCCAGGCCAGUCCCACCUAUGCCUCCCAGAGCUGAGAGGCGAGGGCCGAUGGGAAGGCUUGUUGGGGAAGUUUCUGGUCAUGCCUGGAGGAACAGGUAUGAGCCAUUUACUGUCCCAGAAAACUUGGAGUGCUGUAAGGAGAGGGCCCAAGGAACCCGGGAGGUCCCACUCAGGAGUGAGAAGCAGCCUUCUAGGCAGAGGCAGUGGUCCAGUCACAGCGUCUGGGAGUGGCUGCUUUGAUGGCUUUGAACGCAGGGGAAAUCCAAGGACACAUUCAGGCAUGUCCAUCCUGCGCUGCCCCGGACUAUGGGGUCCCGAGGACACAGCAGUACACAGGUCAUACACACCUUCCCUGUUCUGGGCCUGAGAGCUGAAGUCUUGGUUCUUCUGAGGCUUUCGUCCUGGUCUACAGGUUACUUUUUUCUUUUUUUAAACCUGGAGACCGGGUCUCACUAAACAUCCAGACCAGGUCUCACUAAACAUCCUUACGAUGGCCUGUAGCUCACACAAAGGUUGGCUUUGAAUUCACAGAAAUUGGAUUAAAGGCAUGAACAUCACAACUGG
Molecule: non-coding RNA, 4485 nt
Organism: Cricetulus griseus (Chinese hamster)
Lineage: Eukaryota; Metazoa; Chordata; Mammalia; Rodentia; Cricetidae
Source: RefSeq, a predicted model, not a curated record